Molecule: ribosomal RNA, 860 nt
Filed under: uncultured bacterium
Lineage: Bacteria
Description: bacterial SSU rRNA
Rfam family: Bacterial small subunit ribosomal RNA
Source: RNAcentral
AAAACUUUUCAGCUAGAGUAUGAUAGAGGAAAGCAGAAUUUCUAGUGUAGAGGUGAAAUUCGUAGAUAUUAGAAAGAAUACCAAUUGCGAAGGCAGCUUUCUGGAUCAUUACUGACACUGAGGAACGAAAGCAUGGGUAGCGAAGAGGAUUAGAUACCCUCGUAGUCCAUGCCGUAAACGAUGUGUGUUAGACGUUGGGAAAUUUAUUUUUCAGUGUCGCAGCGAAAGCGAUAAACACACCCGCCUGGGGAGUACGACCGCAAGGUUAAAACUCAAAUGAAUUGACGGGGACCCGCACAAGUAGUGGAGCAUGUGGUUUAAUUCGAAGAUACGCGCAGAACCUUACCAACACUUGACAUGUUCGUCGCGACUCUAAGAGAUUAGAGUUUUCGGUUCGGCCGGACGAAACACAGGUGCUGCAUGGCUGUCGUCAGCUCGUGUCGUGAGAUGUUGGGUUAAGUCCCGCAACGAGCGCAACCCUCACUUUUAGUUGCCAUCAUUAAGUUGGGCACUCUGAAAGAACUGCCAGUGAUAAGCUGGAGGAAGGUGGGGAUGACGUCAAGUCCUCAUGGCCCUUACGUGUUGGGCUACACACGUGCUACAAUGGUAUCUACAACAGGAAGCAAGACUGCGAGGUCAAGCAAAUCCCUAAAAGAUACCUCAGUUCGGAUUGCACUCUGCAACUCGAGUGCAUGAAGCUGGAAUUACUAGUAAUCGUGGAUCAGCGUGCCACGGUGAAUGCGUUCCCGGGUCUUGUACACACCGCCCGUCACACCAUGGGAGUUGGUUCUACCUUAAGGCAAGGUUUCAAACCCUUGACCACGGUAUAGUCAGCGACUGGGGUGAAGUCGUAACAAGGU